AGGCGUCCAAAAAAGCAACUACACUCAUCAAAUAAAAGGCAUCAUAUGCGUGAGAAGUGUGAAUAAUCUCGCUAUAAUGCAAAAGAAAUGAAAGAAUCCUAUGGAAGUUAUAUACUAUAUCAAAGAGAGCAAAUCGAUAAGAAAUCAUAAUAUUGUUGCCUUUUUUGGUUGAAGAUCACCUUGCAGUUAACGAAGAUAUGAGAUUUUUCCAUCAAUGCGUUCCUUCGAGUGAUAUCUGAAGCAUACCGGCAGUCCCGUCUCAAUAUUUUUUUGGAACGCCUGCAUACCGGCACCGACAAAGAAAGUGUAUUAUGGAAACUCCUACAAAAUAAGGCCAAGAGCGACAUACCGGCAAACAUGAAGGACACGAGUUCAAACUCCUAUCAUCUGUUAUGAAUCACAUGCUACAGAUAAGUUUUUACUACUCUCAAUAGUCUAAACAUAAAUUAAAGAUUUUAGUUUUCACAAUCAUAAGGAUCUUGAACUUAUAAAGAAAUAUUCCUUAAUAAGAGAUCUCGAUUUCUUGAAAUUCAUAUUAGAAUUUUGCAUGUGUUGUAAUCUUUUUUUCUUUACUUUUAAUUAGGCAAGUCUUUACUUCAUAAUUGAACAUUGAUAAUAUAAGGGUGAUGAAAAUGCCUAAAAAAAAAAAACAAAUUAACCAAU
Camelina sativa (false flax) is the source of this 663-nucleotide long non-coding RNA. RefSeq lists it as uncharacterized. The record is from RefSeq and is a predicted model, not a curated record. NCBI's taxonomy places the organism in Eukaryota, Viridiplantae, Streptophyta, Magnoliopsida, Brassicales, Brassicaceae.